Molecule: ribosomal RNA, 253 nt
Filed under: uncultured bacterium
Lineage: Bacteria
Description: partial 16S ribosomal RNA
Rfam family: Bacterial small subunit ribosomal RNA
Source: RNAcentral
UACGUAGGGUGCGAGCGUUGUCCGGAAUUAUUGGGCGUAAAGGGCUCGUAGGCGGUCUGUUGCGUCAGGAGUGAAAACUCGGGGCUUAACCCCGAGCCUGCUUCUGAUACGGGCAGACUAGAGGUAUGCAGGGGAGAACGGAAUUCCUGGUGUAGCGGUGAAAUGCGCAGAUAUCAGGAGGAACACCAACGGCGAAGGCAGCACUCUGGGCUGGAACUGACGCUGAGGAGCGAAAGCGUGGGUAGCAAACAGG